GAGUAGAGAUGGAUUUUCCUGGUACUUCCCUGGUGUAAGCUCUUCUUCUACCCAGCAAUAAAGCCUUUGGGUAUUUUCAUAGUAAGAGGAAAUUCUAACAUCAUGAUCUGGGAACCAGAGAAGUGCAACCCGUCUUAACCCUUUCGGUUACCACGUUACAGUGUCUGAAGACCCUUUGCCAACUCUCUUCACCUUCAUUUGUUGAGGAAGGGGGUUGUUCUUGUGGGUGUUCUUUUCUUUUCCCAAAGGGAUGAUUGCUUUGUGCUACGCUCAACAAACUGACCUCAGGCUGAUGUAACAAGGCCCCAGACUGUCUGCACAGCCCGGCCACUUUUGUUUACAUGUGCAAAACCUGCAACAAAUUUGGAUUCCAGAUUAGCCUGUCCCUAUCCCCCCCUGCCUCCCAGCUGCAGAAGGGUGGCUGCAAACUGCAACCAUUUGCUCCUGGCAGCACUGGCACUGCACAGACCUUCCCCACCAGAACAAAAGCACAACAGUUUGAACUAGUCCCAUUUUUAUUUUAUUUUAUUUUUUAUUUCUUUUGAAGCAGGUAGUAUCUGUCUUCCCAUUUAUGUUAGCACACCCUGGUGCCUCUGCCUUGUGGAGGCGAGGCCCUUAGCCUCAGCUGCAAUGCAAUCCAGCACAGCGGGGCCUGCUGGGCAGCACUUGGGGUCAGGGCAGCCACAGCUGCACUGAAUUUGGUGCUCUCUGGGGCAGCUGUGGGGCGCUUGUGCUGCUAGCAUAUGAAAUGCCUUGGGAGAACGGGUCACUUUGGCACCAUUUCCUUGCUGGUUGUAGUGAACUGAAAUACAGACAUGCUUUCUCAAACCUCGAAAAAGAUAUCCACCUGUGUGCAGAUUUGGCCUACGUUACCCCUGCAUCUGAGCCUCCUGCAAGCCUGCUUUGAGAACGCCUACUGGUUUUGCUGGCACAAGCAGAGGAAUAGUUCAUUCCCAAACCCCACAGCAGCCAUCGCUUGCUGCUGCAAUACAAGGAGAGGUGUGCUGCUCUGCUGAGCUUAACCCCGGGAGGAGACCUGUCUGCACCCUGCAACAGCAAAGAACAGCAGGUCAGUGGGGCUCUCUCUGUUCUCAAGAAGCUGGUGCAUUCUUCGUGCCUGGGGAUGUUGGUUUAAGCUGUGAGUGGUUGGCGAUUUCACAAGUAAAGCAAUAGUGAGCGCAUCCCGAGAGGAAGGAGUGAAGGCUCUGAAUGAAAGCAUGCACUUCAGUGUGAGGUGGAAGCUGGUCAGUGCUGUUUGGAAAGUGAAAUUAGAGUCUAAGGUGCUAAAUGCUGGCGCGUUCAGGUUGAGGCCUCUACAGAGGUCCUACCCACUGGUACAAAAGCUGCAGGACCUGAAACAACGCAGAAAAUUCCACUGCUUUUUUGACUGGCAGCUCUGUUCCCAGGUGAUAACAGCAAGCCAAAAUGCAGGGUAGAAACCAAGGCCUUUUCCCACCAUGUUCCAUCCAUACCAAAGGACCAAGCACGCCAGACAUACUCUGUUUAAAAUUCUGCACAAACAAAUCCUCCGUUGUAAAUGAUCGUCCAUAUUGCACUGAAGGUAAGAAAUCUUCCGCACCAGCUGCUCUCAUGGAUAAGCUGGGACAGUGAAUCAGUGAAUCCUCCUUACUGCUGAGUUGCAACUCCAAAGCUGAGUUGUUUUUGAGUAAGCAGUCCACUCCUAAAAGCAAGUUCCUUGCCUCUACAACCCCCUGCAGCAUUAAGAGGAUCAGUGAGCAGAGUGCUAUAUCCCCACCAGGCUGCCUCAUUCACUUCUCAAGGAACAUAAGCAGUGGAGCAGGAGCCAAAAAAACAAAUAUUCCUCACUUCUUUGCUACCUUUUAAAAAGUGGUAACAAUUUAAUUAGUUUUUCACCCUCCAGGGCUGUAAGUUCUUGUAUAAUUAGAUAAUGGGUAAAGAUCAUACAACAUUCUGUUCUCGUAUGGUACACGGGUUCCAUCACUGAGAAUGUUUCAUAGGUUAUUCCAGUUACAGCUCCGGGCUAUCACCCAGUAAUGCUAUAGGAAGCCAUAGCCUCUCCCUCCCCUUUUACAAGACUUUUUUACAGGGAACUAUCUACCAGCAUUACAGGUGCUUGCAUAAAUCCCCUCAGCUUUUACCACACUUGCCACGGGGUAGUUUGAAGCAGUGCUGACAUACGCUACAAUGGGAAAAGACAAAAAUGGAAUGUUGCAAGGAAGCUGAGUGGCUGGGCAUUUCCCAAAAUAUCGCUUCCCAUGUUUUUAAUGCCACCCUUGUCCUUUGCGCUCUGGCAGGAGAGCCAACAUCAAGUUGACAUUGAGUGAUUCAGAAUGGGAAUUUAUUGGACAACAGCGAAGUUUAGAUUUGGAACAGCCCCCAGAAGGGCUGCUCUGCUAAGAAAAGUGCCUGAUGCAAGUCAGGACUUACAGGAUGUACAUGUGUUGAGGUCAGCAACUGUCAAUUAAUUAAUUCAUUAAAAUACUUGGAGAGAUUUAAAAUGGGCACACGGUGAAAACACGCAUGCAGGAGGAUCCUGAAACCGCUUCAGCUUUAGGGCAAACAAAAACCAGAUGGGAGAUGGGUGCGGUGAUGAAAAGGUGUGGGCAAGGGGCCCGUAUCUAUCAUUAUUCCUGCAGCUACAAUUUAAUUACUGUUCCUCAGCUCUGCAGAAAGAUUUUGUUAUUUUUUUAAGUUACGGGAAGGAGCACAAGUUCUGCAGUUGGAAGAUGCCCCUCAGCAUCAUCCUAAACCUGUUAGAGAUGCAUAAUGUGCUUUAUUCCUCACCUAGAAUAGAAAAUGUUUCCCUCAACUUUAGAAUUAAGGAACUGCUUUCAAAAAAAAAAAAACCUUAAAAGGAAGAAGCAAAGUCCUACACUUCCUCUCCUCCCUGAGCGUCUCCUUGCACCAGCAACAUCAAAGCAGAACCCUGCACGUGGCACAAGGAAGGCAAGGAGCCCUGCUCCAGCUGUUGGGGAUGUGCAGAUGUGCAUUGCAACCUUGAUUUGUGCACUCAGUUGGGACAACAGGGUGCAACAACAGGUUACAGAAAGGUAAGCUACCUGCCUGGGGGAUGUUAUUUAAAGCUUAUCUUAGUACUGUAAUGCAGCAGAGGUAAGAGGCUACAGCAACACCUACUCAAAAAAGUAGCUUUUUUUUUCCUCCUUGAGUUCUAUGAUGGCAAAGUGACGAUGACUUAUCCCAACAGAACAGCACACAAACUUACUAAAAAACAAACCAGAACAACUAUUUCUGCAUAUGGCAGAAAUAAAGCAAGUUCUCAGUUCAGAUUUUAAUACUCGCUGAAAAGAUUUGAAACUAUUUUUUUUCUUAACAGUUCUCCUGGUUGCUAAGAACACAGGAAGAGAUAGAUAUAUUUGGAUUAAAAUAAAAAGAAAACCAACCUUAAUUUUUCACUGUAUUGAAACAGCUGAUGAAGCUUGUUUGUGGCAAACAGAUGAAGUAUCUGUAGGGAGGAAUUCACUACUGAAAAAGCUGACAAGCAAACACUGGCUGAGCUUUCCCCACAAGAGCCACGUCAGGCCAACCAAGCCAAAGCAGGGAGAGUGGGGAGCAUUUAUUAUCAUCACUGCACAGAGGCAAAGCCUGACUUUCCCCCCACCUACAACUACAGUGAUGAAAUCAAGAUUGUAGGGGGGGAUCUUUUUUUCCCCUGUCUAUUGAAAUCCUGUCUACAACCUGUAUCUAAGAUGGCACGUAGCUUGCCUAGCCCUUGAGACAGAUUCACCCAGAGCCAAACUACACUUUGGGUUACUGUAAAAAGUCCAAAGGCAUUUUCUGCUGGAGACAUAAUGCCUGGGGAAUAUCCAUACAGAACAGCACGUACAAUGUGCUCGGAUGAAGAAGCUGAAUGAGAUUGCUUCAAAGCCAGAUAAAUGAAUUUUUUCCACUACAGAAUGCCAUUAUGUGGCUACCACGCAUAGCCAGGGUCACUGAAAUCAGUCAAGCAUAGAGCUUGAACUAGGCAAGAUUCCUCUCCACAGUUAUAUAUAAAUAUAUAUAUAUAUACACAUACAUACACAUAUAUAUAUUAAUUUGAACAAACUAGGAUGGAAGGAGGGAACUCUUGACUAGGGAAUGGAGAUGGGGUGCUUUUCUCACUCUGUGACAGCAAUCAGUAGGGAACGUGCUAUUCUGUCACGUCAGAUUUCCUCAGCAUAAGCAGCUUGUGAUAAGUUUCAUGAUGAAAGUUAUGUUAGAAAAAAAAAAAACCUGACAAAACUGUGAUUUCCCAAAGGAAACAAAGCAAACGUCAUCUACUUUGAAAAAAAUCUGAUUUUAUUUUUAUAUUGAAAAGACCUGUCAAUUUAAAUAGAUGUUUAUUUCCAUUCAUGGUCUCAACCAGUGCUGCGUGUUAACAUGCUGUUCAGAGCCGUAUAAAAAAGCCAUUUGUGUUACAUAGGUUAACAUCCUAGAACACUGGGGGAGGGGUUUUGAAGCAGCUUAACAUUAAAAAUAGGAUAGUCCCAAAAAACUUACAACUGAUGCAGCAUCUUCUAGUCUAAUUUUAUAGGAGCUGAAGCAUGUUGCAAAUAUAACCAAAGUUAUUUGGUCUUUAAAAAAAACAAAAAAACGUUAAAACCAGAUUACUUUCAUAUAGUGCUUCAAUAGUGAAGCUGUCAGCUGAGAGAACAAGAGAACAAACACACACUCGUGUGUGCUAACACACAGAGAACCACACUGAGCACAACUGGAACACCCCAUUCGUUCAGUACGUGGAUAUCGUAUUCAUCUGAAUUCAGGAUAGCUGUAAUUGAAUAUGCUUUUUCUUUCCUUUUUUUUUUUUGCCCCUUCCAAAUAAA
This is a long non-coding RNA of Gallus gallus (chicken), 4802 nucleotides long. RefSeq lists it as uncharacterized. Lineage: Eukaryota; Metazoa; Chordata; Aves; Galliformes; Phasianidae. The transcript is spliced from 3 exons. The record is from RefSeq and is a predicted model, not a curated record.